RNAcentral lists this ribosomal RNA (496 nucleotides) under uncultured bacterium. RNAcentral's name for it is "partial 16S ribosomal RNA". It matches the Rfam family "Bacterial small subunit ribosomal RNA", at positions 28 to 506 of the family's 1533-position model. The record is from RNAcentral.
GGUGAACGCUGGCGGCGUGCCUAAUACAUGCAAGUCGAGCGAACAGAUGAGGAGCUUGCUCCUCUGACGUUAGCGGCGGACGGGUGAGUAACACGUGGAUAACCUACCUAUAAGACUGGGAUAACUUCGGGAAACCGGAGCUAAUACCGGAUAAUAUAUUGAACCGCAUGGUUCAAUAGUGAAAGACGGUUUUGCUGUCACUUAUAGAUGGAUCCGCGCCGCAUUAGCUAGUUGGUAAGGUAACGGCUUACCAAGGCAACGAUGCGUAGCCGACCUGAGAGGGUGAUCGGCCACACUGGAACUGAGACACGGUCCAGACUCCUACGGGAGGCAGCAGUAGGGAAUCUUCCGCAAUGGGCGAAAGCCUGACGGAGCAACGCCGCGUGAGUGAUGAAGGUCUUCGGAUCGUAAAACUCUGUUAUUAGGGAAGAACAAAUGUGUAAGUAACUAUGCACGUCUUGACGGUACCUAAUCAGAAAGCCACGGCUAACUACGU